Long non-coding RNA from Cucurbita moschata (crookneck pumpkin), 562 nucleotides. RefSeq lists it as uncharacterized. The transcript has 2 exons. Lineage: Eukaryota; Viridiplantae; Streptophyta; Magnoliopsida; Cucurbitales; Cucurbitaceae. The record is from RefSeq and is a predicted model, not a curated record.
CUACCUAAUUAUCAAACCAUCUCAUUCAACUUUGAGCAAAAGUAAAAGGGAUUGAAGAAGAUGGAUGAAGAAAUCACUCUUCCUUCAGGUAAAUCUUCGUGGCCGGAACUCGUAUUCAUCGAAUCCUCCAUUGCAGUACGUCUUAUAAAGAAAGAUAAUUCUCAUGUAAAGACAAUCGUACUAUUAGCUGGGUCUGGAGUUACUAAAGAUUUCAGACUCGAUCGAGUUCGAGUUUUUGUUAAUAUAAAUGAUAAGGUAGUUGAAGUUCCUCAAGUUGGUUGAAAUUUGAAUAUCUAUAUUUGAAACAAGUAAGACUAAUUAAAUAAGGUAGAAUCUACCUUUCUACCGUAAUAUUUGAAUUAUAGGUAUGGUUUAUUUGAAUGUUUGUAUGCCAUUUAAAUAUUUGUAUGCACAUGGGAGCAACUUUUCUUUAAUGGCUUAAAGUUUUAAUUUUAACAUGAAUAAUUCCGAUUCAUCUAGUAUUCUAUUAUGGAUUGUAAUGUUAUCUUCGUCAUUAAAAAUAAAUUAUCUAUUAGACCUUAUAAUGUUAUUAUCAUCAAAA